This is a long non-coding RNA of Mustela erminea (ermine), 1134 nucleotides long. RefSeq lists it as uncharacterized. NCBI's taxonomy places the organism in Eukaryota, Metazoa, Chordata, Mammalia, Carnivora, Mustelidae. The record is from RefSeq and is a predicted model, not a curated record. The transcript has 2 exons.
UGCAAUACAUGCCCUCUGUAAUACGCACCAUCAGGUUUACCCAACCACCACCACCCUCCCCUCCAAAACCCUCAGUUGCUGUUUAAAUUCAGAUGGUGCUAUCCACAUGAAAGUAGAUACCUAAGAGAACAUUAGCUUUAUCUUGUAGAAUAUACCUCUUCUUAAAAAAUGCUCUCUAUAGAAUUUCAGUUCACUGGUUGUUAAAAUGAGCAUGAACCAAAGUUGGAUUAAGAAGUGUCUGAGAGAGAUGCCUGGGUGGCUCAGUUGGUUAGGCAUCUGCCUUCGGCUCAGGUCCUGAUGCUGGGUCCUUGGGUCCUGGGGAUUGAGUCUGGCGUCGGGCUCCCUUCUUGGCAGGAGAGUCUGCCUCUCUCUCUCCCUCUGCCCCUCCCCCAUUCUGGUGUACUUGCUCUCUUCCUCUCUCAAAUAAAUAAAACCUUUUUUAAAAAGUGUUCAAAUUAUGCAUUAAAACUUAAAACAUCUUUUUAACAGAGUGUUGCAAAUUUUUCACAUAAAUUGCUCUUAAGUUCAAUUUUUGAUGAUUUUUAUCAUGUAAUUUCUUUAAAACAUUAUAGUCUUAUAAAUUACAAAGCCAUCUUAUGUUGCUUUACUCUUUUAUUGAGUAGUUUACAUGUGAACUGUGUGCCUCCUUCCUGUGUUAUUAAACUUUACCCACAAGUAAAUUACAAAUUGUAAAUAUUUGUGGGGAUAAAAAAUUAUGCCAGAGCUCUACUACAUAGUACAUGAAUUUUUUGUCUGUAACUUCUAGUGUUGUCAUUUCAUCACGUCCUUUCCCAUGCACUUUGACAAGAAAUCCAUGUUUGCAGGUGACAAAAAAGGGCCCAAGUCAUUAAAGGUAAAAAGUUCUUGAUUGGAGGAUGGGGUUGGGGAGGGGAGAGCAGUUGACCGGCUGUGUUUUAAUCCCUUACAUCCAAACACUUCUUGCCCAGCCCUGCACCUCAUUGAAGUUGGUCUGACUGGGUUUUACUAUAAAUGGCACAGAAAGCCCCUUCUCCAGACUUCGCAAUUCCUUUUGCCUUUCUAAGAAAGUUUGGCCACCUCUUAGUGAAGUUUCUGUUGUUAACUGACCAGUGAAUAUGGCAACUUUGUAAAGGUUUUUUUAAAGGGUGUUAUUUU